GCAACGAUGACUUUGUGGUUUUGACAGCAAUGAAAAAACACGACUGAAUCCUCUAAGAAGUUCUGAGCUC
This is a small nucleolar RNA of Phyllopteryx taeniolatus (common seadragon), 70 nucleotides long. RefSeq annotates it as small nucleolar RNA SNORD61. The record is from RefSeq and is a predicted model, not a curated record. The transcript has a single exon. NCBI's taxonomy places the organism in Eukaryota, Metazoa, Chordata, Actinopteri, Syngnathiformes, Syngnathidae.